Pelobates cultripes (western spadefoot toad) is the source of this 214-nucleotide non-coding RNA. NCBI's taxonomy places the organism in Eukaryota, Metazoa, Chordata, Amphibia, Anura, Pelobatidae. The record is from the annotation of a GenBank genome assembly.
GUCAGUCUGUAGUAUUUGCAGGUCACGAGUGAGAAGGUGUCGUUUCGUUGGGACAUUGUGUCCCCUCACAUUAAAGGUGCAUAUUCUCACGGUGGUUGCCGUGUGCGGAUUGGGGUAUGUCGUGUUAAGUAAGAUAUGAGUGUGAGGGCUACUGCUCUCCCCAGCUGCAACGAGCUGAGCAGUGAGUCCCUCAGUUCACAUAGUGACGUUCCUC